RNA transcript from Olea europaea var. sylvestris, 2135 nucleotides. It is a transcript of the gene named methyltransferase-like protein 13, with no coding region annotated. NCBI's taxonomy places the organism in Eukaryota, Viridiplantae, Streptophyta, Magnoliopsida, Lamiales, Oleaceae. The record is from RefSeq and is a predicted model, not a curated record. The transcript has 6 exons.
GCAGACAUUCGUUAACAAACCUCACAUGAUCAGACUAACAACUGAUCCAAACAGUAAUCUUGGAUUGGAUUAGGGUUUCUACAAGCAAAAUCCUCUUAGAAAACAGGCAAAUUAUUAAUGGAAUGAAUAUCUGUCUGUGGAGAGUUGAAUGAUGACACUUGAGAUUACUCAAACUCAAGCCUAUGAUGAGCCAUGGUACCGGGACAACCGCCACACUGAGGAUCCUGGCCCCUCUGAUUGGUACCAAAACUACCCUUCUCUUUCACCUCUCCUCCGCCUCUACAUCCACCUCAACCACCACCGUGUCCUCGUUGUCGGCUGUGGCAAUUCCGCGUUUAGUGAGUACAUGGUUGGUGAUGGAUAUGAGGAUUUUGUAAAUAUUGAUAUAUCCUCUGUCGUGAUUGAGGCUAUGCAGAAGAAGUAUUCCAAUCGCCCCCACCUCACAUGUGUAUAUCUUCUAUUCGUUUGAGCCAAUCUACAAUUUAUGAUCUUUUAUGAUUGUAGCUCCUUAAUAAAGGAUAACAUUGUUAAUCUUCACAUAUCAUACAAACCCAAGGAAUGGGAUACACUCAGAUCGUUACAUUGGGAAUCUAAGGUGCGGUUGCUUCUCUUCUUGUAACUCUUCUAGCCAAACAAAGCUAAACAUAUUCAAAAGCAGCUUCUUAGUUUCAAAUGUAGCUUUUGGUUCUUAAAAGCCCUGCCAAAUGAACCUUAAAUCUACUUCUAUAAGUGAGAACUGAUAGGAAUAUAUUGUCUGGCAACAUAGGCUAAUUUAUUGUGUGGAUGCAACUUAAACUCAAGUAGCUUAUAUUUGAGUAGAUUAUAACAAUAUUAGAGAUCAUUAUAAAUCAUUUUUCGUUAAAUUGUUAGUGUUUUAUUGUUGUUAUUAUUCAAGUUCUAGUUCUAGCUUCUUCUUAGAGGAUUGAUUGGCCUAGAUUUCAAGAAUAUGAAUAUUUAUGGUGGCAUAAGGGAAUUAUGCUAAGAUUUAAAGAUGUUCUCAUUGAAGUUCUAUUUUUACGAAGUUUGCUUGUCUUGAAUUUUAUGAAAUCUUUUACAAGUACAUUUCAUGAGAAUUUGAUGUACCGACAAAGGAAGAAGUCCGUAAUUUCCUUGUCGAGGAAGUACACUAUUUUUAUCGUAAUUCAGUUAGACCCAAAGACAUGCAGAAGGAAAGAAAGAAAAAAGCAGGAUCAUAGACAGAAAUGAUAUUGAUCCCUUAUAUGGCCAACUUAUAUUUUCCUAAAGUCUGAUAAGAUAUUAAAAUGGAUGUCUGAGACAUGAGUACAUUUAAAAUGGGAUCCUCGAUGCUGUCAUUGACAAAGGUAUUCCUUUUAAGAAUUUUUAUAUGAACUAUGAAAUAAAUUAUUUGCAGAUUCUAAUGUCUUUUCGACAUGGUCUUCCAGGAACUAUGGACUCUCUUCUGGUGAGUACUCUAUGUUGCAAUAGAUUUAUAAACAAACCAUAUUACAAAGUUGAGUAUUUUCUUGCAGUGUGGAUACAACUCAUAGCAAAAUGCUACUAAAAUGCUUGAAGAAGUCUGCAGGUAUUAAAAAAAAAAAAAAAAUGUUUGAGAUCUCACCUCAAGAAUUUGAAGAACAAAUUUAUUACAAAAUUCCAUGAUCAUAUCAGGAAUUGUCGAUCUAAAUAAUCAUUUGGAAUGCACAGUUGAAUGAGCCUCCUCGAAUUUGGCAAAGAAGGGUCUUUACCUGUUCACUAUAGUUCCUGCCUGAUUCAGCUUUCAACAUCGACAACUUAUCAUGUUGAACCUUAUGGUUGGUCUCCAGCAUGGCAGGUUGAUUGUGUCCAAGUACAUGAUGCUUGAUGAAGUCCACAAAUUCAUUCAUAUCAGGGAGAGAGGAAUUCGUGGCAGUGACAUUCUUGAUUGUGUCCUUGUUCAGGACUUCAAUGAACUGAUCCUUUAGUUUGGCAAAAGUGUUGCGAGCUUUUCUUAACUCCUUACCAAAGUGCAAAACUGUUGUAUUAUGAUUGAAAUUUGAUCCUUCAUCUGAUUCUGGUGACAGAAUUUGUUCAGUUAUUUUGCCAGCAUUUGUAGCUGAUUUUCAUGCAUGCAUGAAGCACUCGAUGGAAUUCCGGCUGCACAAAGUUGAAGGCUUCCUUGAUUCCUGUUAAACUCC